RNAcentral lists this ribosomal RNA (756 nucleotides) under Triticum aestivum (bread wheat). RNAcentral describes it as "partial small subunit ribosomal RNA". The record is from RNAcentral. Lineage: Eukaryota; Viridiplantae; Streptophyta; Magnoliopsida; Poales; Poaceae.
AUGGAACACCGGUGCCAGUCAAUCGCCAUGAUGAAAAGACGCCACACGACCGUCCUCGAUGACCUGCCCGAGUGGAUUGUCAUCGAAGAGAUCCUCAUCUGGUUGCCCCCCAAGGACCUCUUUCGCUGUCGUGCUGUCUGCAAGUUGUGGCGCAGUGCCACCUCCACCGACAAGUUCAUGCUCGACAAUUGCCACCGCCAGCCAUCGCUCCCUGUCAUCAGACAGGAUAUCCCUGGACACAAAGGAGUCAGGUUCGUUGUCUUCCGUGACAAAAGUGUCGGAGCCGAUCAAAAGCUCUGUCCAAUCAUCCAGCACUCUAAGUUCCAUAAUCUCCUGGGCGCCUGUGAUGGCUUUCUCAUCUUGUCCAGUGAGUCUGAUUUCUGGAUCUGCAACCCGGCCACUCGCAAAUGUGCUAUACUACCGCAACCUCGAGUUCCAUCAUCAUCAGCAAGGGUUCCCCGCAUCUACAUAGCCGGAUUCUACCAGCACCAACCAUCUGGGGAAUACCGGGUGCUCUGGUUCUCACGUGGCUGCCUUCGUGGCUACGUUCUCAGGUUUGGAUCCGACAAGCCGAGAAUCAUCAGUCGGCCAUCUGUGUCAUCGCGUUUGCCGGAAUUCUGGCACCAAGGGGAAUUUGAUUCCUGCUAUGGUUCACAAGUCAACCACCGCGGCAGCCUGCACUGGUUAACAGGAAACUACAUGGAGACUGCCGUGGACAUUAUGGUGUUUGACACAGUUACUCAGACGUUCCGGUAG